AUUUUUUAAAGAUUUAAACUUAAAUUACAUACAAAACGCGAUUUUAAUGUAAGCUAUAGGUCUUAACAUGAACAUUCUCUGCGCUCGCUUUCUGCACGAUGUGAUGUGUCAUUAUUUAUAAUCGGGUCCAGUCCUAAAUGAAAUCGCGCCUCUCUGUUUUUUUAUGAGAAAAAAAUUGAAUAUGCGAAUGCUAGUACAACAAUUUUAAAUAAGGAAAACAAGUGAAGCUACCAAGUACAAGGCAGCUGUGAUACCAUUAGCUGGUGCAGUGGUUGGCGGUCUUGUUGGCGGACCUAUCGGUUUGUUAGCAGGUUUUAAAUUAGCUGGUGCAGCUGCAGCGGUAGGAGGAGGCAUAGCGGGUUAUCAAGGUGGUAAGUACUUAAAGAAAAAACAUGAUCACAAAGUUGAAACAGAACUGGAAAACUUAAGUACGCCUUGAUAAAAAAAAUGUUGGCUGAUAAAACACCGUGAUCAAUGAUUGCGUCGAGUUAAUUAGUUGAAGUUGGUUUAGAAUAUUUAUAUAUUGGGGAAGAUAUCACGCUACGGACAAAUAAUUUGUAUAUUUGUAUAUAAUUUUAAUAAUGUAUACAUUAAUGAAAGUAUGUUUAGGCAAUAUGUAUACAGCUGAAUUGGAAAAAGUAAAUAUAUAAUAAAA
Long non-coding RNA from Hydractinia symbiolongicarpus, 655 nucleotides. RefSeq lists it as uncharacterized. The transcript has 2 exons. NCBI's taxonomy places the organism in Eukaryota, Metazoa, Cnidaria, Hydrozoa, Anthoathecata, Hydractiniidae. The record is from RefSeq and is a predicted model, not a curated record.